RNAcentral lists this ribosomal RNA (486 nucleotides) under Xylotrupes meridionalis. Its description in RNAcentral is "partial large subunit ribosomal RNA". It matches the Rfam family "Bacterial large subunit ribosomal RNA", at positions 1808 to 2563 of the family's 2925-position model. The record is from RNAcentral. Lineage: Eukaryota; Metazoa; Arthropoda; Insecta; Coleoptera; Scarabaeidae.
CAAAAACAUGUCUUUUUGAUUAUAAUUUAAAGUCUAACCUGCCCAAUGAGGAGUUAAAUGGCCGCGGUAUUUUGACCGUGCAAAGGUAGCAUAAUCAUUAGUUUUUUAAUUGAAAGCUGGUAUGAAUGGUUGGACGAGAAAACAACUGUCUCAAUUUAAUUUAAAAUAGAAUUUUAUUUAUAAGUUAAAAAGCUUAUAUAAGUUUAAAAGACGAGAAGACCCUAUAGAAUUUUAUAUAAUAUUAUAUAUAUUAUUUUUAGAAUUUUAUUUAUAUAUAUAUAUUAUUAUAUUUUGUUGGGGUGAUGGAAAAAUUUAAUGAACUUUUUUUAUAUUUGAACAUUAAUGUAUGAUUGAAUGAUCCGUUAUUUACGAUUAUAAGAUUAAAUUACCUUAGGGAUAACAGCGUAAUUUUUUUUUAGAGUUCUUAUCGAAAAAAGAGUUUGCGACCUCGAUGUUGGAUUAAAAUUAACUUUUGGUGUAGGAGCU